This 472-nucleotide ribosomal RNA is filed under the name uncultured organism. RNAcentral's name for it is "partial 16S ribosomal RNA". It matches the Rfam family "Bacterial small subunit ribosomal RNA", at positions 334 to 797 of the family's 1533-position model. The record is from RNAcentral.
CACUCCUACGGGAGGCAGCAGUGGGGAAUUUUGGACAAUGGGCGAAAGCCUGAUCCAGCAAUGCCGCGUGAGUGAAGAAGGCCUUCGGGUUGUAAAGCUCUUUUGUCAGGGAAGAAACGGUGAGAGCUAAUAUCUUUUGCUAAUGACGGUACCUGAAGAAUAAGCACCGGCUAACUACGUGCCAGCAGCCGCGGUAAUACGUAGGGUGCAAGCGUUAAUCGGAAUUACUGGGCGUAAAGCGUGCGCAGGCGGUUUUGUAAGUCUGAUGUGAAAUCCCCGGGCUCAACCUGGGAAUUGCAUUGGAGACUGCAAGGCUAGAAUCUGGCAGAGGGGGGUAGAAUUCCACGUGUAGCAGUGAAAUGCGUAGAUAUGUGGAGGAACACCGAUGGCGAAGGCAGCCCCCUGGGUCAAGAUUGACGCUCAUGCACGAAAGCGUGGGGAGCAAACAGGAUUAGAAACCCCAGUAGUCCCA